This 253-nucleotide ribosomal RNA is filed under the name uncultured bacterium. RNAcentral describes it as "partial 16S ribosomal RNA". It matches the Rfam family "Bacterial small subunit ribosomal RNA", at positions 524 to 776 of the family's 1533-position model. The record is from RNAcentral.
UACGUAGGGUGCGAGCGUUAAUCGGAAUUACUGGGCGUAAAGCGCACGUAGGCGGCUUUGCAAGUUAGAGGUGAAAGCCCGGGGCUCAACUCCGGAAUUGCCUUUAAAACUGCAUCGCUAGAAUUGUGGAGAGGUAAGUGGAAUUCCGAGUGUAGAGGUGAAAUUCGUAGAUAUUCGGAAGAACACCAGUGGCGAAGGCGACUUACUGGACACAUAUUGACGCUGAGGUGCGAAAGCGUGGGGAGCAAACAGG